GCUAUAAUGCAGUCGAGCGAGCUUGCCUAGAUGAUUUUAGUGCUUGCACUAAAUGAAACUAGAUACAAGCGAGCGGCGGACGGGUGAGUAACACGUGGGUAACCUGCCCAAGAGACUGGGAUAACACCUGGAAACAGAUGCUAAUACCGGAUAACAACACCAGACGCAUGUCUAGAGUUUGAAAGAUGGUUCUGCUAUCACUCUUGGAUGAACCUGCGGUGCAUUAGCUAGUUGGUAAGGUAAUGGCUUACCAAGGCGAUGAUGCAUAGCCGAGUUGAGAGACUGAUCGGCCACAUUGGGACUGAGACACGGCCCAAACUCCUACGGGAGGCAGCAGUAGGGAAUCUUCCACAAUGGACGAAAGUCUGAUGGAGCAACGCCGCGUGAGUGAAGAAGGGUUUCGGCUCGUAAAGCUCUGUUGGUAGUGAAGAAAGAUAGAGGUAGUAACUGGCCUUUAUUUGACGGUAAUUACUUAGAAAGUCACGGCUAACUACGUGC
This 498-nucleotide ribosomal RNA is filed under the name uncultured bacterium. Its description in RNAcentral is "bacterial SSU rRNA". It matches the Rfam family "Bacterial small subunit ribosomal RNA", at positions 46 to 508 of the family's 1533-position model. The record is from RNAcentral.